AAUAAUGCAACAGUCGAUCAGGACGUAGCCAUCAAUACCAGUGGUGUCCCUGUAAUAGUGAGAUUUUUGAAUCAGGACUAGCUCCACAAAGAGUUCAUUACAGUUAGUUUCUUGUAUGAUGGGGGACUAGGAUGCAGAACAAGGCCUAAUUGAUUGGAAGAGACAUGGAUAAUGAUUCUAGAGACAGCGUAAAUGGUCCUGCAUCGAUGACGCAAACAGGCGGCCAACUAAACGAGGGUAGCCCCGACGCUCUCCGAAACAAAGACCACCACGGGGAACCUACCUGGCAGAACACCCUAUUGCACCUUGGAGGACCCGUGGCUCGUCUUUGGAAAAAACUAAGGACACGCAAGAAAGACGGAAGAAGAAACGUCACCAACGGGGCGACGUUGAUUGUGGUUAUCUCCGCUGUUCUGCUCACCGUCGGGCUGGGGCUUAUUCUCACCAUUUGGUCUCCUUUUGUCGCAAAUUCUACCAAGAGACCCUCCAUUGAUGGGCCUAUGCCUGCUCCCGACAGUGCCACAUUUGAAACACCUGUGAUUGGUCCCGUUGAAGUGAAUUUGACCUUAGAAAUCGACCAGAAAUUCAAAGAAGAGUAUUACUACCCCACUUCGGCAGGUUACAAAGAGCUAGAAGCCAUGAUUCUUACAACGAUUGACAGCAUAUUCAUGAACAGUGACACGAGUAGUGCGUAUGAAGGCUCGAAAGUUGUUGGCUUCCGAAAUGGAAGCGUCCUUGCCACCGUCCUCAGUCGCUUUAGACAAGCCGUCGUUCCUGCCUCUCAAAACCCCUCAGACUUGAAUGCAGUCUUAGACACGUUUGUCGAGUACGUUCAGAGCCUCCUCGAGAGCUUGACCAGUCAACUUGGGUGCUGUGGUGGCCUUCAGUUCAUCUCGAUCAUAAUCAAUGGAGCAAACAUAAAAUCGCCGUUCGUUGGUGUGUCUGAAACAACUCUACCACCGCAAUCUGUAGGUUCCACAACCGAUCCAUCAACUGCUAGACUGACUGACCAACAGACUGAUCCAUUAACUACCGACCCAACACAUCCACCGACUGCUGCACCGACUGAUCAACCAUCUCAUCCACAAAGUGUAGGAUCAACCCAUAUUUCAAAUGUACAACCGACUGAUUCUACGACUACGCUACAGCCUUACACGCAAACUGAGGAGGCGCUAACUGUUGCUCCGAGUGCAUCACCAACCAGUGCACCAACUGAUGGUCCAAUUGAACCACCAAUUGAUCCAACUAGCGAAGCACUAACUAAUCUGUCGACUUAUCAACCAACACCUCCAACUAGUCCAACAUCUGCCCUAACUGAGUCAUCAACAUAUUUCCAAACAGAUGGCUGUGUCAACUCCUGCUUAAACAACGGAACAUGUGAACCAGUCGGGUGGACCGGUUUCACCUGCGAAUGCUCUGCCGGUUUUGGAGGCUUAAGGUGUGAAAAGGAGUUGAUUACCAUCAAUCUUGGAACGAACGAGUCGACCCUAGUAAGCUCUCCAUCCUAUCCCAACAACUACCCGAACAAUCUGGAUGUCGUUUGGAUAAUCCAAACGGUAGGCAAUUGGAGGAUUCUCAUUGAGUUCAUCGCUUUCAACACGGAGAGUCGUUACGAUUUCCUUCAGGCCGGGGAUGGGGGGAAUUUUUCAAAUUCCUCCACAGCUUUGUUCCGCGUGAGUGGAAGCAAUCUGCCAACUCGUCUCUUGUCCGUCGGGAACGUCAUGUGGCUGAGAUUCAUGUCAGAUCAGAGUGUCAACAUGAGUGGGUUUUCCUUGUCGGCUCAAAGCGUCUCCUCAAGUGGCUGUGUAUUUAAUUCCUGCUUGAACAACGGGACAUGUGAGCCAGUCGGGAGAUUCGAUUUCAGCUGCGCUUGCCCUGCUGGGUUUCAAGGCAUUGUAUGUGAAACAGAAACCUUCUUUGUGAGUGUGAAUGAGUCUUCUCAAAUUACCUCGCCAUCCUAUCCAUCAAGCUACCCAAACCAUACACGCCUCGUCUGGAUCCUUCAAGCCAUGCCCAACAGGAAAAUUGUCAUCACUUUCGUUGCCUUCAACACGGAGCGUGGUUUCGAUUUCCUUGAAGCUGGUGAUGGAUCAGAUAGCACCAACUUCUCCAAUAGGUUCUUUCGUUGGAGUGGGUCUUAUAAACCACCUGAACUAUUGUCCAAUCAGAACGCCAUGUGGUUGAGGUUCACAUCGGAUGGGAGUGUCAGUCACGCUGGGUUUACUCUGUUGGCGCGAAGUGUCCCAUCCAAUGAAACAUUGACCUGUUCUGACGGUGAACUUGACUGUGGCCAUUCGGUUUGCGUCAGUGACUCUUUACGAUGUGACGGGUAUUACGACUGUAUUGACACAAGCGACGAAAUAUCCUGUGACUGUGAUAGCAUCUUCUGCCAGAACAAUGGAACCUGUAUGCUAUUCCCAAGUGGUUAUUUUAGAUGCCUUUGCUCCCAAGGAUUUGCAGGAAGAUUCUGCGAAAAAGCUUUCGUUGAGUGUGAGGCAUUUCCGUUCAUUUUUCAAGAAUCUGACAGAUGUGAUGGAAGGAUUACAUGUCCAAACGGCGAUGACGAAAAGGGUUGUGUUUGUUUUGUAGAUUGCAGUGGGGAUGAUUACCUGUGUCGUGAUAGCAUCUGCGUGAGUCGAGCCGAUGUGGAAUGUAAUGGUGUACCAGAUUGUCUGGAUUAUUCAGAUGAAGGAGUUACCUGCAAUGCUGCCUACUGCGUGGAAAUUCAGAGUGAAGUGUGCUCAGCUAUUCUGACUUACAAUACCACCUACUUCCCGAACGACUUCGUGAAAUCCCAUCGACAAGCGAAUGACCUCAUUACUCAACAUCUGCCUCAACUCACGGUCAACUGCACCGAUAGCGAGAGACUUGCUCUGUGUAUGUCGUUCUUCCCGGAGUGUCCUCAGUUUGGUUCUGAUCGAAGAGUCUGUGCCACAUUAUGCACGAGAGCUUUGGAAUGUGUCGGCCUCGACAGAAACUCUAACACUACAACUUUGCCGUGUGAUGUAUAUCCAGACCGUGGAGUCCUGUCAACUUCAGAUGGUUGUUUUUACAACAGCGAAGAUGUGUUACAAGCAGGAGACUGUGGGCGUCGACCAGCAGCCUCGCCUUCUCUUAAUCCUUUCAGUCGUAUCGUUGGUGGAGCUCAGACGCACAUUGCCAACUGGCCUUGGAUUGGUUCAUAUCGACACGCUAGUGAAUCGCAUGGAUGUGGAGUAUCACUAAUCAGUAGAUAUUGGGCAGUCACAGCAGCACACUGCAGCCAUCUGCAUCACGUAGUAUUUGGCAGUUCGACCUUGGAUAUUCCAUUCAACUACCCACACGUCCAUAGGGUUAGCAAAGUAUUUAAUCAUCCCAGAUAUGACGAUCAGUGGUACUACCACGACAUCGCGCUCCUGAAACUGGCCUCCCCCGUACGAUAUACGGAAACCAUCCAACCAAUCUGCUUGCAAAUUGCUGACAAUGAAACUGAGGUCUACGACAGGUGCCAUGCAAUGGGUUGGGGCCGAACUUCAUAUGAAGGUACAUGACUAUACAAUUGGGAGGCAAAACACUUUCACCAACCACAUCGUCCUCGAACCCGUUGUCCCGUUCUAGGAUUAUUUCUCCCAUCUUGAAAGAAGCACGUGUCCCGCUAUUGGGUUGGGAGCAAUGUAACAACAACACUGGAACUCGUGG
Molecule: unclassified non-coding RNA, 3678 nt
Filed under: Acanthaster planci (crown-of-thorns starfish)
Lineage: Eukaryota; Metazoa; Echinodermata; Asteroidea; Valvatida; Acanthasteridae
Description: uncharacterized LOC110975370, transcript variant X1
Source: RNAcentral